CAGCAGCCACGGUAAUACGUAGGGUGCAAGCGUUAAUCGGAAUUACUGGGCGUAAAGCGUGCGCAGGCGGUUUGUUAAGACAGAUGUGAAAUCCCCGGGCUCAACCUGGGAACUGCAUUUGUGACUGGCAAGCUAGAGUGUGGCAGAGGGGGGUGGAAUUCCGCGUGUAGCAGUGAAAUGCGUAGAUAUGCGGAGGAACACCGAUGGCGAAGGCAGCCCCCCGGGCCAACACUGACGCUCAUGCACGAAAGCGUGGGGAGCAAACAGGAUUAGAUACCCGUGUAGUCCCUGUCUCUUAUAA
RNAcentral lists this ribosomal RNA (301 nucleotides) under uncultured bacterium. Its description in RNAcentral is "partial 16S ribosomal RNA". It matches the Rfam family "Bacterial small subunit ribosomal RNA", at positions 509 to 809 of the family's 1533-position model. The record is from RNAcentral.